This 468-nucleotide ribosomal RNA is filed under the name uncultured bacterium. RNAcentral describes it as "partial 16S ribosomal RNA". It matches the Rfam family "Bacterial small subunit ribosomal RNA", at positions 28 to 507 of the family's 1533-position model. The record is from RNAcentral.
GACGAACGCUGGCGGCGUGCUUAACACCUGCAAGUCGAACGGAAAGGCCCUGCUUUUCUGGGGUGCUCGAGUGGCGAACGGGUGAGUAACACGUGAGUAACCUGCCCUUGACUUUGGGAUAACUUCAGGAAACUGGGGCUAAUACCGGAUAGGAGCUCCUGCUGCAUGGUGGGGGUUGGAAAGUUUCGGCGGUUGGGGAUGGACUCGCGGCUUAUCAGCUUGUUGGUGGGGUAGUGGCUUACCAAGGCUUUGACGGGUAGCCGGCCUGAGAGGGUGACCGGCCACAUUGGGACUGAGAUACGGCCCAGACUCCUACGGGAGGCAGCAGUGGGGAAUAUUGCACAAUGGGCGGAAGCCUGAUGCAGCAACGCCGCGUGCGGGAUGACGGCCUUCGGGUUGUAAACCGCUUUCGCCUGUGACGAAGCGUGAGUGACGGUAAUGGGUAAAGAAGCACCGGCUAACUACGUG